GGCCGUCCCAGGAGCUCUGGGGCCCUCGCCAGCGUCCAGGAAGCGCCUUUGAGCGUCUAAGUUGUCACAGCCCUCAGCGGCCUACAGAGAGACGGCUCCUCAGGGAAACUCCUCGGUGGACCAGCCCUUCCGCACAGCCUGCACUUCCCGAGGCGCGCUCUCACUGCGUCUAUUCGCUUACGGUUAAGGCGCUGCGCUGGGAGGCGGUGACACCUAGACCGAGCUGGGAAGACUAGAAGGAAUUGGCCUGGGAGGACAGGGAAGGUCAGUGGGAGGAAAGUGUUCCAGGUAGAGGAAACAGCUUGUGUCAAGGCCCUGAGAUUCGAGGGAGCAUAACAACGGCAGGCGCGGAGACUGAGGCGCACAGAGGUUAAGGGGCUUCCCCGAGGUCACACAACAGUGGAGCUGGGCUGGGGCAGGUGGCCACGUGCAGGUCAAUUUCCACAGUGCUUGGAAUUGGAAAUUAACCUGGCUAAGCAUGCUGCAGCUUAGCCAUUGAAUGUGCCCAGGGCGAGACCAGAGCCUGGAU
RNAcentral lists this long non-coding RNA (529 nucleotides) under Equus caballus (horse). RNAcentral describes it as "lncRNA (ENSECAG00000051259.1)". The record is from RNAcentral. Lineage: Eukaryota; Metazoa; Chordata; Mammalia; Perissodactyla; Equidae.